CAAGCAGCAGGAGCUGCUUUUUGAUCUGCACUCCUUACGAACGGCCAAAUCCAUGCUUCUCACUGUACUAAAGCAAGUAGUUCCAUUACCAGAAAGCAUUCAGGGACUACCUGGCUGAAGUAAGAUGAAUGGAAUUUGGGGGUUGACCCUUCAAACAUUUCCUCAUGAGUAGAUUCUGCGCCACUUCCGAUACUUUUGUGCCAGUCAAGCAAAGCGGAUGGAGCAAAGACUGGUCACAACCCCAACACUGGGGAUUAUCCCAAUGUCAUGGGCAGGCAUAGAGCCAAUGAAGCUAGCCCCUGCAUCACCCUUUCUGAAGACCCUGGUGCAGAGGACAUAUCAGAGGUGCCUUUCCCGUGUAGACCCGGCAGAGAGAUGAGGGGUCAUCAACAGAAAUGCAUCAGGCUAAUGUGUUUUUUUUAGUUUUUUUAAAUGAAUGGUUGUAUUAAAAAAUAAUCUAGGGAAAGGAGGUGAUUAUUUUUUAGAGUCUAUUCAAAAAGCUAACA
This is a long non-coding RNA of Chelonoidis abingdonii (Abingdon island giant tortoise), 506 nucleotides long. RefSeq lists it as uncharacterized. The record is from RefSeq and is a predicted model, not a curated record. NCBI's taxonomy places the organism in Eukaryota, Metazoa, Chordata, Testudines, Testudinidae.